AGCAAAAGCACUUUUAAAAUGAGUUAAGUGGAAGACGAACAGACAAAUGAGGUAACUUCUAUAAAGAUGGAGGUUGCUUCUGGCUCAUCAGCCAUCGUUGAUGGUAACCAGUCCUACAAUUCUCAUUAGGCAGUUCUGUUACCCCACUAUUUCCUUGGGGUCUGUUGUGCUAAGGACAGGAUUGGUUGGGUAAAGGGGUGUGGCACAAAUAACCCUCAGGAAUACAGGCCACAGAGCUAAUGAAGGGCCCCAAGGAAAGAAAGACCUGCCCAUCAGCGAUGAAUUCUCUCCCCCAGUGCCACAGACCUGAGGGCACGUGACCCAGGAAUGUGCAUCCAAAGAUAAUACUACCUUCAGAGAACUCUACUUAUAGGCUGUGGUUUUUCAAGAAAAAGGAAAAGAUUCAUAAUUCAUUGAGCUCUUUCCUUGUGAGAAGAAAGGCCACUCUUUUGUGUGCUGAAGUUGGACAACAGUUCCCAAGGAAGCUGAAUUCUAGCUGUUUAUUGUUAUUGGGUUUUGCACUAUGCCCUUUAUGUUGUCAUUAAUCAAUAAAUACGUGUGGAACAAAUGAUUAACUAGAAAAAA
This 585-nucleotide long non-coding RNA is filed under the name Homo sapiens (human). RNAcentral's name for it is "long independently transcribed non-coding RNA 867 (LINC00867)". The record is from RNAcentral. Lineage: Eukaryota; Metazoa; Chordata; Mammalia; Primates; Hominidae.